GAACUUCUGCCCUGUUCGUGAUAUCAGGUCAAUUUGAGCCGUAUAUUGUAAAAAGGGAUAGGUCACUGUUAACGGUGUGCAGGCCCAUGAAGCUUUCGCUUUAUUAUGGGAAGCCUAAAGUUAUUAAUUACUUUUCCCACCUGGACAUCCAGGUUCAAUAUUCCUUUUACACGGCAGGGUGGUUUUUUU
RNAcentral lists this non-coding RNA (189 nucleotides) under Deltaproteobacteria bacterium. Its description in RNAcentral is "6S RNA". It matches the Rfam family "6S / SsrS RNA". From Rfam's summary of the family: E. coli 6S RNA was the first non coding RNA to be sequenced, but its function was unknown until recently. It consists of 184 nucleotides that fold into an extended hairpin structure with a large single-stranded internal bulge. Lineage: Bacteria; Pseudomonadati; Myxococcota; Myxococcia. The record is from RNAcentral.